UGGAGCUGAUUCGGUAGAAGAAG
RNAcentral lists this non-coding RNA (23 nucleotides) under Drosophila melanogaster (fruit fly). Lineage: Eukaryota; Metazoa; Arthropoda; Insecta; Diptera; Drosophilidae. The record is from RNAcentral.